UUAGCUAGCCUUAUGUCUCUUUUAAUACAAGGUCUUUACUCUUUACUUUUUAAUUUCAUAAAAAAAUAAAAUAAAAAUAAAAAGUUUUGCCUUCAUCCGGUCCUCUGCUCCAUUAUUUUUUAUUGUCUCUCUCAUUUCUUUACAUGUCGCCCAAUAAUCUGAUGAGAGAUUGACAUAAGCAGACAUCUAUGCCGCGAGAGGCCAUCUCCACUGUGUUUGAUGAAAUGACUAAGUUAAGAGUAAUUGAAAACAUCAACCACAGGUCUUCUUGUUGGUUUUAAUCAUUGGGUAAAACUUAGGCUGUAAAAGUUUGAAAGCCAAUAAAAUUCCAUUUUUGUCAAGGUUUUUAUGGUUCUUACCUAUCAAUCCUUUAUGCUUCACAGAAAUUUGAUUUCUUCUACUCUGUUCAACAGGUAAAUGUAAUUAAUUUAUUAAACUUAUUUAGGUUUUGCCUUUUCCCUCUCAUGGUUAAUGAUUUUUAGUUUGUGAUUAUAAUGGCCAAGGUCAUCCGUGUCAUAAAGCAUAGUUGAUGUUACCCAACUUUGCUAAAACCUGUGGCUGAUUUUGAAAUUCAUGGAUGUGAUGGAACUUACCCAUCAAAUGUGAUUCUAGUAAUACCUUAAUCAAAAUGAGGUACUUCACUGAUCCUAUAUAUUUCUUUUGGACAUAAACCAAUGGUUUUAUUUUAGCAUAUUUCCAGUUUUUCCAGAGCAUAGUUAAAGCACUUUGGUUUUGGUUAUUUCAACUUUUUGUAUUAUCUGUUGCUUCCUUUGUUGGAUUAUCUUUCUUUUUAUGUCAAUGUAGUCCUUUGCACGAGUUAACUCAUAAUUGAGAUCAUAUUUAAUUAAAGAAAAACGAGUAGAAGGAAAGAUAACUUACAAAAAAAAAUUGAUGAGUAAAAAAACUAAAAGAGAAAAAAAAUCUUGUUAAAAAAGUUAUCAGUUAAUGUUCUAUGUGCCCUGUAUUAUUCAUAGACGAUGUUGCUAUUUUCUUGAUCAUGCAAAAGUAAUAGAAUUUCAGAACAUAUUUGAAGAGAUUGAAAUUGUAUUCUUCACAUUCUUUCAUUUACCUUUGUAAAGUAUACAAAUAUGAAUUUGUUCUCUCUCUCUCUCUCUCUUUUUCUUCAAUUUCAGGAAUGCAUUUGCUCUUUUAUCUCACAGAAACGUUUGUUUUGAUGAGGUUGUAUCAAUUUCAUUUGAGACUGAAAAGUAAAAGGAUUCUUGAUGCUUACCAAUUUUUUGGGACAAGGUGAUGGCCCAUUGUAAUUGAUUUCACAGGAGUAAGAAAGGGUGAAGUAUGUGUAAAUGGACAAACCAACAAUGUAUCUACAGAUAAUGAUCUAGUGGAAAUUGUAUUUGAAUUUUUUAGAUAUGAAUUAUUUAUUUUUUACACA
This is a long non-coding RNA of Jatropha curcas, 1393 nucleotides long. RefSeq lists it as uncharacterized. NCBI's taxonomy places the organism in Eukaryota, Viridiplantae, Streptophyta, Magnoliopsida, Malpighiales, Euphorbiaceae. The record is from RefSeq and is a predicted model, not a curated record.